GACGAACGCUGGCGGCGUGCUUAACACAUGCAAGUCGAACGGAAAGGCCCUGCUUUUGUGGGGUGCUCGAGUGGCGAACGGGUGAGUAACACGUGAGUAACCUGCCCUUGACUUUGGGAUAACUUCAGGAAACUGGGGCUAAUACCGGAUAGGAGCUCCUGCUGCAUGGUGGGGGUUGGAAAGUUUCGGCGGUUGGGGAUGGACUCGCGGCUUAUCAGCUUGUUGGUGGGGUAGUGGCUUACCAAGGCUUUGACGGGUAGCCGGCCUGAGAGGGUGACCGGCCACAUUGGGACUGGGGUACGGCCCAGACUCCUACGGGAGGCAGCAGUGGGGAAUAUGGCACAAUGGGCGGAAGCCUGAUGCAGCAACGCCGCGUGCGGGAUGACGGCCUUCGGGUUGUAAACCGCUUUCGCCUGUGACGAAGCGUGAGUGACGGUAAUGGGUAAAGAAGCACCGGCUAACUACGUG
This 468-nucleotide ribosomal RNA is filed under the name uncultured bacterium. RNAcentral's name for it is "partial 16S ribosomal RNA". It matches the Rfam family "Bacterial small subunit ribosomal RNA", at positions 28 to 507 of the family's 1533-position model. The record is from RNAcentral.